GACUGGGUAGCUCAGUUGGAUAGAAUGUGGUGCUGGUGACACCAAGGUUGCAGGUUCGAUCCCCGUAUGGGACA
Non-coding RNA from Podarcis lilfordi (Lilford's wall lizard), 74 nucleotides. The record is from the annotation of a GenBank genome assembly. NCBI's taxonomy places the organism in Eukaryota, Metazoa, Chordata, Lepidosauria, Squamata, Lacertidae.